This 305-nucleotide ribosomal RNA is filed under the name uncultured bacterium. Its description in RNAcentral is "bacterial SSU rRNA". It matches the Rfam family "Bacterial small subunit ribosomal RNA", at positions 334 to 657 of the family's 1533-position model. The record is from RNAcentral.
UUCUCCUACGGGACGCAGCAGUAGGGAAUCUUCCACAAUGGACGAAAGUCUGAUGGAGCAACGCCGCGUGAGUGAAGACGGUCUUCGGAUUGUAAACCUCUGUCUUUGGGGAAGAAAAUGACGGUACCCAAAGAGGAAGCUCCGGCUAACUACGUGCCAGCAGCCGCGGUAAUACGUAGGGAGCGAGCGUUGUCCGGAAUUACUGGGUGUAAAGGGAGCGUAGGCGGGCGAGAAAGUUGAAUGUUAAAUCUACCGGCUUAACUGGUAGCUGCGUUCAAAACUUCUUGUCUUGAGUGAAGUAGAGG